Molecule: ribosomal RNA, 705 nt
Filed under: uncultured bacterium
Lineage: Bacteria
Description: bacterial SSU rRNA
Rfam family: Bacterial small subunit ribosomal RNA
Source: RNAcentral
GUCGAACGGACUCAUAUUGAAACCUAGUGAUGUAUGAGUUAGUGGCGGACGGGCGCGUAACGCGUGGAGAACCUGCCGUAUACUGGGGGAUAACACUUAGAAAUAGGUGCUAAUACCGCAUAAGCGCACAGCUUCGCAUGAAGCAGUGUGGAAAACAAAAAGCUAAAGCUUUUGGUGGUAUACGAUGGAUCCGCGUCUGAUUAGCUGGUUGGCGGGGUAAAGGCCCACCAAGGCGACGAUCAGUAGCCGGCCUGAGAGGGUGAACGGCCACAUUGGGACUGAGACACGGCCCAAACUCCUACGGGAGGCAGCAGUGGGGAAUAUUGCACAAUGGGGGAAACCCUGAUGCAGCGACGCCGCGUGAGUGAAGAAGUAUUUCGGUAUGUAAAGCUCUAUCAGCAGGGAAGAAAAUGACGGUACCUGACUAAGAAGCCCCGGCUAACUACGUGCCAGCAGCCGCGGUAAUACGUAGGGGGCAAGCGUUAUCCGGAUUUACUGGGUGUAAAGGGAGCGUAGACGGCAGCGCAAGUCUGGAGUGAAAUCCCAUGGCUUAACCAUGGAACUGCUUUGGAAACUGUGCAGCUGGAGUGCAGGAGAGGUAAGCGGAAUUCCUAGUGUAGCGGUGAAAUGCGUAGAUAUUAGGAGGAACACCAGUGGCGAAGGCGGCUUACUGGACUGUAACUGACGUUGAGGCUCGAAAGCGUG